RNAcentral lists this ribosomal RNA (329 nucleotides) under uncultured eukaryote. Its description in RNAcentral is "partial 18S ribosomal RNA". It matches the Rfam family "Eukaryotic small subunit ribosomal RNA", at positions 1470 to 1796 of the family's 1831-position model. The record is from RNAcentral.
CCCUUAGAUGUUCGGAGCUGCACGCGCGCUACGCUGAAGGAAGCAGCGUGUUAGAGCACCUGGCCCGCGAGGGCUGGGUAAUCCGGUGAAUGUCCUUCGUGAUUGGGAUAGGGACUUGUAAUUAUUUCCCUUGAACGAGGAAUACCUAGUAAGUGCGAGUCAUCAGCUUGCGCUGACUACGUCCCUGCCCCUUGUACACACCGCCCGUCGCACCUACCGAUUGGAUGGUCCGGUGAAGCCUCGGGAUUGUGGUUCUUGCCGCUUUAUUGUAGCGUGACCGCGAGAACUUGUCUAAACCUUAUCAUCUAGAGGAAGGUGAAGUCGUAACA